GCCUAACUGGCCCAGUCGGUUGAGUGUCUGACUUCGGUUCAGGUUAUGGUCUUGCGGUUCGUGGGUUCGAGCCCUGCGUCGGGCC
RNAcentral lists this transfer RNA (85 nucleotides) under Felis catus (domestic cat). It matches the Rfam family "tRNA". From Rfam's summary of the family: Transfer RNA (tRNA) molecules are approximately 80 nucleotides in length. Their secondary structure includes four short double-helical elements and three loops (D, anti-codon, and T loops). Further hydrogen bonds mediate the characteristic L-shaped molecular structure. tRNAs have two regions of fundamental functional importance: the anti-codon, which is responsible for specific mRNA codon recognition, and the 3' end, to which the tRNAs corresponding amino acid is attached (by aminoacyl-tRNA synthetases). tRNAs cope with the degeneracy of the genetic code in two manners: having more than one tRNA (with a specific anti-codon) for a particular amino acid; and 'wobble' base-pairing, i.e. permitting non-standard base-pairing at the 3rd anti-codon position. Lineage: Eukaryota; Metazoa; Chordata; Mammalia; Carnivora; Felidae. The record is from Rfam by way of RNAcentral.